UGGGGAAUCUUGGACAAUGGGCGCAAGCCUGAUCCAGCCAUGCCGCGUGGAUGAUGAAGGCCUUAGGGUUGUAAAAUCCUUUCGCCGAGGACGAUAAUGGCGGUACUCGGAGAAGAAGCUCCGGCUAACUUCGUGCCAGCAGCCGCGGUAAUACGAAGGGGGCUAGCGUUGUUCGGAUUUACUGGGCGUAAAGCGCGUGUAGGCGGGUCGUUAAGUUGGGGGUGAAAUCCCGAGGCUCAACCUCGGAACUGCCUUCAAAACUGGCGACCUGGACCUAAGUAGAGGCAAGUGGAAUUGCGAGUGUAGAGGUGAAAUUCGUAGAUAUUCGCAGGAACACCAGUGGCGAAGGCGACUUGCUGGACUUAUGGUGACGCUGAGACGCGAAAGCGUGGGGAGCAAACAGGAUUAGAUACCCCGGUAGUCCCUGAGCGGGCUGGCAAGGCGCAU
RNAcentral lists this ribosomal RNA (447 nucleotides) under uncultured bacterium. RNAcentral describes it as "bacterial SSU rRNA". It matches the Rfam family "Bacterial small subunit ribosomal RNA", at positions 355 to 825 of the family's 1533-position model. The record is from RNAcentral.